AGACCUUUGGACUGUUUCUAGGACAAUGUCGUGAACGGAAUUUAAUGUACUUUGUGUGGACUACUUUAUGUUGGUGUAACUCGACAAACUUUGCGUAAAAGGAUUAAUCAACACCAGUCUGAUAAUAAAGAUACAUAGGAUUCUUUAUAACCAUUUAUUCAACCGGACCAUGAUCCUUCUUUAUCUAUGAAUGUGCGCAUCAUAAAGAUAUCACCACACCAAUAGCCC
RNAcentral lists this long non-coding RNA (228 nucleotides) under Mytilus galloprovincialis (Mediterranean mussel). Lineage: Eukaryota; Metazoa; Mollusca; Bivalvia; Mytilida; Mytilidae. The record is from RNAcentral.